UGCCAGCAGCCGCGGUAAUUCCAGCUCCAAUAGCGUAUAUUAAAGUUGUUGCAGUUAAAACGCUCGUAGUCGGAUUUCGGGGCGGGGCCGCCGGUCUGCCGAUGGGUAUGCACUGGCGGUCGCGUCCUUCCUUCCGGAGACUGGCCCUACUCUUAACUGAGCGGGGUCGGGAGACGGAUCGUUUACUUUGAAAAAAUCAGAGUGUUUCAAGCAGGCAGCUCGCUCUUGCAUGGAUUAGCAUGGGAUAAUGAAAUAGGACUUUGGUGCUAUUUUGUUGGUUUCGAACACCGAAGUAAUGAUUAACAGGGACAGUCAGGGGCACUCGUAUUCCGCCGAGAGAGGUGAAAUUCUCAGACCAGCGGAAGACGAACCACUGCGAAAGCAUUUGCCAGGGAUGUUUUCACUGAUCAAGAACGAAAGUUAGGGGAUCGAAGACGAUCAGAUACCGUCGUAGUCUUAACCAUAAACCAUGCCGACUAGGGAUUGGCGGAUGUCCUUCUUUGACUCCGUCAGCACCUUAAGGGAAACUAUAGUCUUUGGGUUCCGGGGGGAGUAUGGUCGCAAGGCUGAAACUUAAAGGAAUUGACGGAAGGGCACCACCAGGAGUGGAGCCUGCGGCUUAAUUUGACUCAACACGGGGAAACUUACCAGGUCCAGACAUUGUGAGGAUUGACAGAUUGAGAGCUCUUUCUUGAUUCGAUGGGUGGUGGUGCAUGGCCGUUCUUAGUUGGUGGAGUGAUUUGUCUGGUUAAUUCCGUUAACGAACGAGACCUUAGCCUAUUAAAUAGUGGCGCGAACACCUUGUUGGCGGUUCACUUCUUAGAGGGACAACUUGUCUUCAACAAGUGGAAGUUUGAGGCAAUAACAGGUCUGUGAUGCC
RNAcentral lists this ribosomal RNA (880 nucleotides) under uncultured eukaryote. RNAcentral's name for it is "SSU rRNA". It matches the Rfam family "Eukaryotic small subunit ribosomal RNA", at positions 565 to 1471 of the family's 1831-position model. The record is from RNAcentral.